This is a long non-coding RNA of Taeniopygia guttata (zebra finch), 349 nucleotides long. RefSeq lists it as uncharacterized. The record is from RefSeq and is a predicted model, not a curated record. Lineage: Eukaryota; Metazoa; Chordata; Aves; Passeriformes; Estrildidae.
AUACUACACUCAGCUUCUCCUUGAUUCCCUGUAAAUGGAGUAUUGAAGGCUAGGAAAAAGAGAAGGGGAAAAGGCUAAUGAAAAUGAAGCACAAAUAAAGAAGAAUGAACCAUGCAGUAAGGGAUAGAAUAGCUCAAGAUCUGGAUAUGGAGUAGAUUUUGAUCGAGAAUCUCAAAGGACCUGCAAAUUUUGUCUACGUAGCCUAGCAAAGAAUUAUGAACAAGGUGGGUUUUCCAUCUGUCUCUCCCACAAAUAUGCAAUCUUCUAUGAAGUGGACCAUGAGAAAAUUAAACAUCAGAUUCCUAAUGAAGAAAACCCAAAAAAACUUUGAAUGAAAUGAAAAACAAAC